GGAUCCAGGCAGAUUUUAGUCAGGAUCCUCACAGACAUCAGUCAGGAUCCUGGCACAUUUUAGGUAGGAUCCCAGCAGGUUUGGGGCAGGAUCCCGGCAGGUUUGGGGCAAGAUCCCAUCAGAUUUUAGUCAGGAUCCACACAGACAUCAGUCAGGAUCUCGGCAUGUUUUAGGCAGGAUCCCAGCAAGUUUGGGGCAGGAUCCAGGCAGGAUCCCGCCAGGAUCCCAGCACAUUUUAGUCAGGAUCCCCCAGACAUUAGUCAGGAUCCCGGCACGUUUUGAGAAGGAUCCCAGCAGGUCUGGGGCAGGAUCCAGGCAGAUUUUAGUCAGGAUCCUCACAGACAUCAGUCAGGAUCCUGGCACAUUUUAGGUAGGAUCCCGGCAGAAUUUAGGCAGGAUCCCAGCAGGUUUGGGGCAGGAUCCAGGCAGACUUUAGGCAGGAUCCAGGCAGAUUUCAGUCAGGAUCUUCACAGACAUCACUCAGGAUCCCAGCAUGUUUGGGGCAGGAUCCAGACGCAUUUUAGGCAGGAUCCCCACAGACAUCACGCAGGAUCCCGGCACAUUUUAGGCAGGAUCCCGGUAGGUUUGGGGCAGGAUCCAGGCAGGAUCCCCACAGAGACAUCAGGCAGGAUCCCGGCACAUUUUAGUCAGGAUCCACACAGACAUCAGUCAGGAUCCCGGCACGUUUUAGGCCGGAUCCCGGCAUGUUUGGGGCAGGAUCCCGUCACGUUUUAGGCCGGAUCCCGUCGGGAUCCCGGCAGGCCCCAGGCAGGCCCCAGCCCCUGGCCUGCCGCCAGCGGGGCCGGCGCGGGCGAUAACGGCGCCGGGGCCCUGCGGUUCGGGAGCAGCGGGGCCGGGCGGAAACGGCCCCAACGGCCCCGCCGCCACCGGGACCGCGCCGGGGCACCGCGGGGUCCUGCGGGGCCGUGUUAUUGUAGGGUCUCCAGGUGUUGUGGUGACGUGGGGCCCUCGGGCACCGUGUUAUUGUAGGGUCUCCUGGCUCUGGGUUUGUUAUCAGGUUUCCUGGCAUUAUGUUAUUGUAGGGUCUCCGGGUGUCCUGAUAACGUGGGGUCCUCGGGCACUGUGUUGUUGUAGGGUGUCUGGGUCUUGUGAUAACGUGGGGUCCUCAGGCAUUGUUAUUGUAGGGUCUCCUGGUGCUGUGAUAACGUGGGUCCUUGGGCACGGUGUUAUUGUAGGGUCUCCUGGCUCUAGUGUUAUUGUAGGGUGUUGUGUUUUUGCAGGGUCUCUAGCUGCUGUGCCAUCGUGAGGUCCCUGGUGCUGCUGUUGUAAGGAUUACUUGGUGUGUUAUUGUAGGGUCUCCUGGCCCUGCAUUAUUACACCGUCCUUGCCACUAUCAUUGUAGGGUCUCCUGUUUUUUUGUUAUUGUAGGGUCUCUUAGGGCUAUGUUAUUGUAGAGUCUCCUGGAUUUUGUUGCUGUAGGGUCUCCCAGUGCUGUGUUAUUGAAGGGUCUCCUGGCUUUUUGUUAUUGUAGGGUCUCUUAGGGCUACGUUAUUGUAGGCUCACCUGGCUCUUUGUUGCUGCAGGGUGCCUCAGUGCUGUGUUAUUGUAGGGUCUCCUGGCUCUUUGCUGCCGUGGGGUCUGCUAAAGCUAUGUUAUUGUAGGGUCUCCUGGCUCUUUGUUGCUGUAGGGUCUCCCAGUGCUGUGUUAUUGUAGGGCCUCCUGCUUCUUUGCUGCUGUGGGGUUUCCUAGGGCUAUGUUAUUGUAGGGUCUCCUGGAUUUUGUUGCUGUGGGGCCUCCCAGUGCUGUUAUUGUAGGGUCUCCUGGCUCUUUGUUGCUGCAGGGUCUCCCAGUGCUGUGUUAUUGUAGGGUCUCCUGGCGAUACGUUAUUGUAGGGUCCCUGCUGCUGUGUUUUAGCGGGGACGGGGGUGGCGGGGGGGU
This is a long non-coding RNA of Anser cygnoides (Swan goose), 1899 nucleotides long. The record is from Ensembl. Lineage: Eukaryota; Metazoa; Chordata; Aves; Anseriformes; Anatidae.